CCAGGUCACUCAGUACAGAUUUUAAACGUUCCUCAAAAUCUCCCCGAAAUUUGGCUCCUGAAAUGAGAGCGCCUAAAUCUAGGACAAUAACACGUUUAUCCUUCAUGGACUCAGGGACCUCUCCACGAAUGAUUCGCGAGGCUAAUCCCUCCAUAAUUGCUGUUUUACCUACACCAGCCGGACCAACUAACGCAGGAUUAUUCUUUGUGCGUCGAGAGAGAAUUUGGAUGGUUCUUUGAAUCUCUUCUUCACGCCCAAUUACAGGAUCCAAUUUUCCUUGUUUAGCCAAGGCUGUUAAGUCUGUGCCAUAUUCUUCCAAAGCGGCUCCUUGUUUGCGUCCGCCGCCUAAAUCCAUUCGAAAAUUUCCUCCAUUUGGAUUUGCUGCAUAAAAGCGUACUUGCUUCCAUCCAAACUUUGGAGAUCUCUUAGCUAUGAGUACAGAAGCAUUACUUGGUCUUAUAGAAAAUGGUGUUUCAGCUAACAGCCGUUUUUCAAAAAUGGGUCGAGUACUCAAUGCCCGAAGAGAAGUUUUUAAACUUCCUUGGUACCUACGGAGCGAUUGUAUUCGUAUCGGAAUACUCUUAGGUAAAAUAUUCAUGGUUUGCGAAAUCUUCUCAUUUUCUUACCUACUGCUUAUAUAUAUAUAUAUGAAUCUAUAAAGUGUCGGCUAACUAAAGAAUUACCUGGAAGGUAGUAGCAAAUUCUUAUAACGAGCUAACUAAGGUUGGCAAAUAACGCGUGCGUUGCUUUUCGUAAAAGAGCUCUUUUAAACUGCAAGCUGCAUCAAAUUAGUAAGAGCAACUGACAAUUUUUCUUACUCAGUAGCCUUAUCACCGAUAUCUAUAUUGUGGUCAAAGAAUCUACAAUUCAUUAGCAUCCAUCGUAUGAUAGCGUUAAAUAAAAGAAUAUGAGGUAAAAGAUUAUAUGUAGCACGAAUUGCUCUUGGACGAAGCAACUGAGAAGAACAGAAUGAAAGUAAAUAAGCGACGUUUAUAAGAAAUUUCAAAAAGGGCCUUUCUCAACGAAGUAUUGUUAUCAAUUUCUGUUUUUAUAAUUUUCUAUUCUAAUAGCUUUCUUAAUGUCUACAAGAUUAGAAUGAUUGGCAGAUUUGCUGUGUAAUUGCUAAUUUUAAGAAUACGUUUUUGCAAGCUAUUAAUUAAAAACUAUUUGGGAUUAAUUGAAACAGCGGUAUAGACUAUUUAUAAGUCGUUAGCUGUAACUCUUUUGAUAGAUUCAAAACGUUUAGCAAAUUGUAUACUUAAAUCAUUCAUAUCCUUACUGGUACAUACUGCUACAAUUUAAAAAUUUGUCAAUAUAAUGUUAUUUCAACAAACAUUGAGUGUAAUACAUGAAUUCCUGAGCAUCGCCCCAUAUAGCAAGCAUUUAUA
Schizosaccharomyces pombe (fission yeast) is the source of this 1388-nucleotide non-coding RNA. Lineage: Eukaryota; Fungi; Ascomycota; Schizosaccharomycetes; Schizosaccharomycetales; Schizosaccharomycetaceae. The record is from the annotation of a GenBank genome assembly.